CCUACGGGAGGCUGCAGUGAGGAAUAUUGGUCAAUGGACGAGAGUCUGAACCAGCCAAGUAGCGUGAAGGAUGACUGCCCUAUGGGUUGUAAACUUCUUUUAUAUGGGAAUAAAAUGUUCCACGUGUGGGAUUUUGUAUGUACCAUAUGAAUAAGGAUCGGCUAACUCCGUGCCAGCAGCCGUGGUAAUACGGAGGAUCCGAGCGUUAUCCGGAUUUAUUGGGUUUAAAGGGAGCGUAGGUGGAUUGUUAAGUCAGUUGUGAAAGUUUGCGGCUCAACCGUAAAAUUGCAGUUGAAACUGGCAGUCUUGAGUACAGUAGAGGUGGGCGGAAUUCGUGGUGUAGCGGUGAAAUGCUUAGAUAUCACGAAGAACUCCGAUUGCGAAGGCAGUUCACUGGACUGCAACUGACACUGAGGCUCGAAAGUGUGGGUAUCAAACAGGAUUAGAUACCCUUGUAGUC
RNAcentral lists this ribosomal RNA (460 nucleotides) under uncultured bacterium. RNAcentral describes it as "partial 16S ribosomal RNA". It matches the Rfam family "Bacterial small subunit ribosomal RNA", at positions 338 to 795 of the family's 1533-position model. The record is from RNAcentral.